UACGUAGGGCGCAAGCGUUAUCCGGAAUUAUUGGGCGUAAAGAGCUCGUAGGCGGUUUGUCGCGUCUGCCGUGAAAGUCCGGGGCUCAACUCCGGAUCUGCGGUGGGUACGGGCAGACUAGAGUGCGGUAGGGGAGAUUGGAAUUCCUGGUGUAGCGGUGAAAUGCGCAGAUAUCAGGAGGAACACCGGUGGCGAAGGCGGAUCUCUGGGCCGUAACUGACGCUGAGGAGCGAAAGCAUGGGGAGCGAACAGG
RNAcentral lists this ribosomal RNA (253 nucleotides) under uncultured bacterium. RNAcentral's name for it is "partial 16S ribosomal RNA". It matches the Rfam family "Bacterial small subunit ribosomal RNA", at positions 524 to 776 of the family's 1533-position model. The record is from RNAcentral.